RNAcentral lists this ribosomal RNA (238 nucleotides) under uncultured fungus. RNAcentral's name for it is "partial 18S ribosomal RNA". It matches the Rfam family "Eukaryotic small subunit ribosomal RNA", at positions 40 to 276 of the family's 1831-position model. The record is from RNAcentral. Lineage: Eukaryota; Fungi.
AAGAUUAAGCCAUGCAUGUCUAAGUAUAAGCAAUUUAUACAGUGAAACUGCGAAUGGCUCAUUAAAUCAGUUAUCGUUUAUUUGAUAGUUCCUUUACUACAUGGUAUAACUGUGGUAAUUCUAGAGCUAAUACAUGCUUAAAAUCUCGACCCUUUGGUAAGAGAUGUAUUUAUUAGAUAAAAAUAACAAUGUCUUCGGACUCUUUGUAUGAUUCAUAAUAACUUUUCGUAAUACGCAU